Molecule: microRNA precursor, 66 nt
Organism: Dipodomys ordii (Ord's kangaroo rat)
Lineage: Eukaryota; Metazoa; Chordata; Mammalia; Rodentia; Heteromyidae
Gene: Mir302d
Product: microRNA 302d
Source: Ensembl
CCUUUACUUUAACGUGGAGGCUCUUGCUGUGACAUAACAAAUAAGUGCUUCCAUGUUUGAGUGUGG